AACGAACGCUGGCGGCAGGCUUAACACAUGCAAGUCGAGCGAGACCUUCGGGUCUAGCGGCGGACGGGUGAGUAACGCGUGGGAACGUGCCCUUCUCUACGGAAUAGCCCCGGGAAACUGGGAGUAAUACCGUAUACGCCCUUUGGGGGAAAGAUUUAUCGGAGAAGGAUCGGCCCGCGUUGGAUUAGGUAGUUGGUGGGGUAAUGGCCCACCAAGCCGACGAUCCAUAGCUGGUUUGAGAGGAUGAUCAGCCACACUGGGACUGAGACACGGCCCAGACUCCUACGGGAGGCAGCAGUGGGGAAUCUUAGACAAUGGGGGCAACCCUGAUCUAGCCAUGCCGCGUGAGUGAUGAAGGGCCUUAGGGUUGUAAAGCUUCUUUCAAGCUGGGAAAGAUAAAGAC
Molecule: ribosomal RNA, 403 nt
Filed under: Paracoccus marcusii
Lineage: Bacteria; Pseudomonadati; Pseudomonadota; Alphaproteobacteria; Rhodobacterales; Paracoccaceae
Description: bacterial SSU rRNA
Rfam family: Bacterial small subunit ribosomal RNA
Source: RNAcentral